Molecule: ribosomal RNA, 486 nt
Filed under: uncultured bacterium
Lineage: Bacteria
Description: partial 16S ribosomal RNA
Rfam family: Bacterial small subunit ribosomal RNA
Source: RNAcentral
AUUGAACGCUGGCGGCAUGCCUUACACAUGCAAGUCGAACGGCAGCACGGGUGCUUGCACCUGGUGGCGAGUGGCGAACGGGUGAGUAAUACAUCGGAACAUGUCCUGUAGUGGGGGAUAGCCCGGCGAAAGCCGGAUUAAUACCGCAUACGAUCUACGGAUGAAAGCGGGGGACCUUCGGGCCUCGCGCUAUAGGGUUGGCCGAUGGCUGAUUAGCUAGUUGGUGGGGUAAAGGCCUGCCAAGGCGACGAUCAGUAGCUGGUCUGAGAGGACGACCAGCCACACUGGGACUGAGACACGGCCCAGACUCCUACGGGGGGCAGCAGUGGGGAAUUUUGGACAAUGGGCGAAAGCCUGAUCCAGCAAUGCCGCGUGUGUGAAGAAGGCCUUCGGGUUGUAAAGCACUUUUGUCCGGAAAGAAAUCCUUGGCCCUAAUACGGUCGGGGGAUGACGGUACCGGAAGAAUAAGCACCGGCUAACUACGUG